AUUGAACGCUGGCGGCAUGCCUUACACAUGCAAGUCGAACGGUAACAGGUCUUCGGGUGCUGACGAGUGGCGAACGGGUGAGUAAUACAUCGGAACGUGCCCAGACGUGGGGGAUAACGAGGCGAAAGCUUUGCUAAUACCGCAUACGAACUAAGGAUGAAAGCAGGGGACCGCAAGGCCUUGUGCGUUUGGAGCGGCCGAUGGCAGAUUAGGUAGUUGGUGGGAUAAAAGCUUACCAAGCCGACGAUCUGUAGCUGGUCUGAGAGGACGACCAGCCACACUGGGACUGAGAAACGGCCCAGACUCUUACGGGAGGAAGCAGUGGGGAAUUUUGGACAAUGGGCGAAGGCCUGAUCCAGCAAUGCCGCGUGCAGGAUGAAGGCCUUCGGGUUGUAAACUGCUUUUGUACGGAACGAAAAGGCUCUGGCUAAUACCUGGGGCACAUGACGGUACCGUAAGAAUAAGCACCGGCUAACUACGUG
This 482-nucleotide ribosomal RNA is filed under the name uncultured bacterium. RNAcentral describes it as "partial 16S ribosomal RNA". It matches the Rfam family "Bacterial small subunit ribosomal RNA", at positions 30 to 507 of the family's 1533-position model. The record is from RNAcentral.